UCUGGUGUCCAUAGCGAGGUGGAACCACCCCUUCCCUUCCCGAACAGGACCGUGAAACGCCUCUGCGCCAAUGAUAUUGCACUUCACCGUGUGAGAAAGUAGGUCAACGCCAGAC
This is a ribosomal RNA of Rugosibacter aromaticivorans, 115 nucleotides long. The record is from Rfam. NCBI's taxonomy places the organism in Bacteria, Pseudomonadati, Pseudomonadota, Betaproteobacteria, Nitrosomonadales, Sterolibacteriaceae.